AGGGCCGACCUGAAUAGGCUUCUCUUGAUACAAAUCACUUGAACUCAAAGUCUGAAUAGGUUUGAACCAAGCCUGGAUUGAAACAGAACCUCUUUGAUGAUCCUUUUAAUUUUACUUUCUUGAUUCUUGAAGAAAUCAAGAAUCUUUUCUUGAUUUUUCAACUAAUCAAGAAGAACAACAAUUAAGAAGUGGUUGUAACUAACUCUCAACAAACUUGAGAGCAAAGAGAACAAGAACCAAACAAGUGGCACCAACUAAUUGACAUCACUCUUAUGUGCCGCCCACCCCUUUUUGGCUCCAAGGGAGGACAUCAAGAGAGAGAAGAGGCCUGGG
Molecule: long non-coding RNA, 333 nt
Filed under: Elaeis guineensis (African oil palm)
Lineage: Eukaryota; Viridiplantae; Streptophyta; Magnoliopsida; Arecales; Arecaceae
Description: long non-coding RNA (EGUI_LNC033197)
Source: RNAcentral